RNAcentral lists this ribosomal RNA (459 nucleotides) under uncultured bacterium. Its description in RNAcentral is "partial 16S ribosomal RNA". It matches the Rfam family "Bacterial small subunit ribosomal RNA", at positions 338 to 795 of the family's 1533-position model. The record is from RNAcentral.
CCUACGGGUGGCAGCAGUGAGGAAUAUUGGUCAAUGGCCGAGAGGCUGAACCAGCCAAGUCGCGUGAGGGAAGACGGCCCUACGGGUUGUAAACCUCUUUUGUCGGGGAGCAAAGCGAACCACGUGUGGUUCAUUGAGAGUACCCGAAGAAAAAGCAUCGGCUAACUCCGUGCCAGCAGCCGCGGUAAUACGGAGGAUGCGAGCGUUAUCCGGAUUUAUUGGGUUAAAAGGGUGCGCAGGCGGAGGUGCAAGUCAGCGGUCAAAUUGCGGGGCUCAACCCCGUACUGCCGUUGAAACUGCAUCCCUUGAGUGCGCGAGAAGUAUGCGGAAUGCGUGGUGUAGCGGUGAAAUGCAUAGAUAUCACGAAGAACCCCGAUUGCGAAGGCAGCCUGCCGCAGCGUUACUGACGCUGAAGCUCGAAAGCGCGGGUAUCGAACAGGAUUAGAUACCCUGGUAGUC